GGGCUAAUGACGGUACCUGAAGAAUAAGCACCGGCUAACUACGUGCCAGCAGCCGCGGUAAUACGUAGGGUGCAAGCGUUAAUCGGAAUUACUGGGCGUAAAGCGUGCGCAGGCGGUUUUGUAAGUCUGUCGUGAAAGCCCCGGGCUUAACCUGGGAAUUGCGAUGGAGACUGCAAGGCUUGAAUCUGGCAGAGGGGGGUAGAAUUCCACGUGUAGCAGUGAAAUGCGUAGAGAUGUGGAGGAACACCGAUGGCGAAGGCAGCCCCCUGGGUCAAGAUUGACGCUCAUGCACGAAAGCGUGGGGAGCAAACAGGAUUAGAUACCCUGGUAGUCCACGCCCUAAACGAUGUCUACUAGUUGUCGGGUCUUAAUUGACUUGGUAACGCAGCUAACGCGUGAAGUAGACCGCCUGGGGAGUACGGUCGCAAGAUUAAAACUCAAAGGAAUUGACGGGGACCCGCACAAGCGGUGGAUGAUGUGGAUUAAUUC
This 489-nucleotide ribosomal RNA is filed under the name Massilia sp. RNAcentral's name for it is "bacterial SSU rRNA". It matches the Rfam family "Bacterial small subunit ribosomal RNA", at positions 463 to 952 of the family's 1533-position model. Lineage: Bacteria; Pseudomonadati; Pseudomonadota; Betaproteobacteria; Burkholderiales; Oxalobacteraceae. The record is from RNAcentral.